ACACUGGGUCAUCUCCUGUGACUUCCCCUCUAUCUGGAUUGGGGGAAGGCAGGAAAAACCCUGACCCUCUCCCACAGAGCCUCAGCCAGUGAUACUGCUUCCCGGAUGAGAAGGACGGCCCCGAAGCCCACAGGCAAGCCAGGCCCACGGCCACGGUCCCUCCAGUCUCCUCGCAGCUCCCCAGCAGCCCAGACGACCCUGCGGGGACCAGAAGCACUCCGGGCAGAAAGGCAGACCCAGAAUCGCUUCCCAAAGCCUCCCGGCCCCUGUGGCCCAGGGACUUGAGACGCCAGCCAGGCGGCUUUCGGGGUGUGUCUGCCCGAUGCCCGCCCGGGAGGACGCGGGGCCUGCGCCCCCGGGGGCCGUCACCUCGGCGCCCGCCGGCGACCCUGGGGAGAUCCGCAACUGGGACGAGCUGCUCUACUUCUUCAACCACACCCUGCCCGAGUGCCACGUGGAGCUCAGGGAGGACGCGAAGCAAGUGACGCUGUUCGUGCUGUACCUGGCCAUCUUCGUGGUGGGGCUGCUGGAGAACGUGGUGGUGAUCGGCGUCAGCUGGCGGCGCGCGGGCCGGGGCCUGCUCAGCCUGUACGCGCUGCACAUGGCCGUGGCGGACCUGGGCAUCGUGCUGUCCCUGCCCGUGUGGAUGCUGGAGGUCGCGCUGGACUACACCUGGCUCUGGGGCGGCUUCUCCUGCCGCUUCACGCACUACUUCUACUUCGCCAACAUGUACAGCAGCAUCUUCUUCCUGCUGUGCCUGAGCGUCGACCGCUACGUCAGCCUGGCGGCCCCCGGCCCGCAGCCCCAGCAGCAGCGGCUGCGCCGGGCCGUGUGCGCGGGGGUCUGGCUGCUGGCGGCCGUGCUCCCGCUGCCCGAGGUGGCGCACAUGCAGCUGCUGGACGGCGCGGAGCCCGUGUGCCUGUUCAUGGCGCCCUUCGAGGCCUACAGCGCGUGGGCCCUGGCCGUGGCGCUGUCCACCAGCGUGCUGGGCUUCCUGCUGCCCUUCCCGCUCAUGGUGCUCUUCAACGUGCUGACGGCCUGCCGCCUGCGCCGCGCCGGGCGGCCCGAGGGCCGGCGCCACUGCCUGCUGGUGUGCGCCUACCUGGGCGCCUUCGCCGCGUGCUGGCUGCCCUACCACGCCACGCUGCUGCUGCUCACGCUGCACGGCACGCACGUGUCCCUCCACUGCUACCUGGUGCACCUGCUCUACUUCUUCUAUGACAUCAUCGACUGCUUCGCCAUGCUCCACUGCGUGCUCAACCCCCUGCUCUACAACUUCCUGAGCCCCAGGUUCCGGGAGCAGCUGCUGAGCGCCGUGGUCCAUUACCUGCCCAAGGCCCGGGCCCGGGCCCGGGCGGACAGGCGCGCCUCCUCCUCCUCCUCCUCCUCCUCCACCCAGCACUCCAUCGUCAUCACCAAGGAGGGCACCCAGCCCACCGCAGCCGGCGCCCAGGCCCACCCGGGAGGCCCAAACUAGCCCCGCCCUCCCUAGGGUCUCCCAGGAGGCCCGGAGAGCCCGGCUCCCAGGGGGGUAGAGAGCUGGAGGCCGAGGCUGGGGGGACAAGGGAUCAGAGGCCGAGGAACGAGGAGGCGACGCAGGACAUUCCCUAGCAUCCUCAGUGACAUGGUAAACAGAGGGAGUGAAGCACAGGGCUGGGUCCCGCCCUCUGCCCCCACCCAGAUCCUCUCCCCUUCAUCCAUCCUGCUUCCCUCCCCACGAAGCAGAGGAGCCAGCCCACAGUCCACGCUCCUCACAGCCCACCUGCCCCUGCCUUCAGAUCUAGGACGUUUCCAGACUCCCAGGAAGAGAUGCUCUUGGAAAUGCACCAUCCCUCCCUUUCUUUCCAGAUCGUGGGCAAACAUCAAGGGACAUCCAUCUGAGAGCAGACCUUGGGACGGCCAGCAGCAGGCCCUGACACACGCUCUGUCCCUCAGCCCUUGUCCCUGCACGGGAUGGGGAAGUAGAAAUUUCUGAGCCAGUCACAGGGCAGAGCUCCAGUAUUCCAAGUCAUUCCUGACCCUUCAACUUCAUCCUCCCUGGCCAGGGUCUUUCCAUUAAUUUUCCCGUCCAGCCACUUACUUCUAGUCACACUUGUCCUAUAGAUAAGAAAAGAGGUCUUCAGGUUAACAAGUAGGUCUUCUGGAAAAUACUCAUUUAUCAGUUUGGGAACCUAAGAGCAUGUCCAGGAAGGAAAAACCUAUGAACAGGCCCCAGCCCACUAGUUCCAAGUCCUUGGCCUCCUAAUCCCACCUGUGGAGAAUGAAGGGUUUGUGAACGUAAGCACUGGGAGCCUCUGUCCUGAUCGUGCACGCGGUAUUUCUGGAAUGUUUCACUUGGAGUAACCACUCACUGAUCUGGGGCGCCGUCCCCUCUGUUCUUAGAAAUCUGAAACCGUAUUCAUCAGAUGCAUUAAACAUGUGCUCCGAUAGUGCAUGUGCCCGUUUGUCAGGAGCACAGUGGGAGAGACCCCGACAAUCUUGCUCAUUGUACCCCAAUCUGAAAGGGUCUCAAGCGAUACACAGCUGCUCUGUGGCACAGAGCCGAAGGCUUUUUCAACCAGGACAGUCCGGGGUGUGACUUGGGGUUGCAGUAAGGGCUAAACCCAGCAACACAGAAGAUGCACUACAGACAUUCCUCCUUUGUGCUCAUAUAAAAACCAAGCCAUAAUCGAAUGUCCUUACUACUCCCUCCACUGACUUUAGGCUCCAGAAGUUUCCUAAAGGGAAUCCAGUGUCACACGUGUCACAUCCAGGUUGCCUCAGAGGCCAGCCCCCCGGGGGCUCACUCUUCUGAUUUCUCUGGCAGUGGGUUACAACCCUAGGCCGCAUGAAUGCCUCCUUAGGGCCUUGGGAGGACAGAGGCCCAGCUCUGCUCACUACAGCAAGGCUGUUCCUCCGCUCAGCACUCACCGAGCACUGACAGGCACCAGCCUGGCCAGGGGCUGAGACCACAUGGCCCACGUCACACCCCAACUUCUGAGGUCUACCUCCUUCUCUGUGGAGUUACAUUUGUUGUCGACCUCGUGGCACUGGCAGGACCAUCUGAGGCCGGACCUCGAGUCCACCUAGAUAGGAGCAGAGUCCACUACUCUCUGUGCCAACCCAAGAUCCCCUCGGGGAGGCUUCCCCUGGAAAGGGUGGGUUAUUGACUUGAUUUGCCACUAAAAACAGGUCAACAGGUUAAACCUGGGGAAUUCCAGCUACAGGAAAGGAAACUGUGCUACCUGAAAGAAUCUUGGCAUCGGGGACGCCUGGUGGCUCAGUCGGUUAAGCGGUUGCCUUUGGCUCAGGUCAUGAUCCCAGGAUCCUGGGAUCAAGCCCUGAGUCCGGAUCCCCGUUCAGCAAGGAGUCUGCUUCUCCCUCUC
Canis lupus familiaris (dog) is the source of this 3365-nucleotide RNA transcript. It is a transcript of the gene named G protein-coupled receptor 182, with no coding region annotated. The record is from RefSeq and is a predicted model, not a curated record. Lineage: Eukaryota; Metazoa; Chordata; Mammalia; Carnivora; Canidae. The transcript has 3 exons.